CCCUUAGAGUUUGAUCCUGGCUCAGAACGAACGCUGGCGGCAUGCCUAACACAUGCAAGUUGAGCGAGAACCAAGGGGCUUGCUCCUUGGGGAAAGCAGCGCACGGGUGAGUAACGCGUGGAUAACGUGCCCUGGGGUUGGGGAUAACCCGCCGAAAGGUGGGCUAAUACCGAAUGUGUUCCAAGAGGGUUAGCCUUUUUGGAAGAAAGUGGGGCAACCCACGCCCGAGGAUCGGUCCGCGUUCCAUCAGCUAGUUGGUAGGGUAAAGGCCUACCAAGGCUACGACGGAUAGCUGGUCUGAGAGGAUGAUCAGCCACACUGGGACUGAGACACGGCCCAGACUCCUACGGGAGGCAGCAGUGGGGAAUAUUGGUCAAUGGGCGAAAGCCUGAACCAGCAAUGCCGCGUGAGUGAUGAAGGCCUUCGGGUUGUAAAGCUCUGUCAGUGGGAACGAAGAAGCCGGUUAAUACCCGGUGGUGACGGUACCCACAAAGGAAGCACCGGCUAACUCUGUGCCAGCAGCCGCGGUAAUACAGAGGGUGCAAGCGUUGUUCGGAAUUACUGGGCGUAAAGCGCGUGUAGGCGGUCUAGUAAGUCGGUCGUGAAAUCCCUUGGCUUAACCAAGGAACUGCGUCCGAAACUGCUGAACUUGAGUGUCGGAGGGGAUGGCGGAAUUCCCGGUGUAGAGGUGAAAUUCGUAGAUAUCGGGAGGAACACCCGUGGCG
This 725-nucleotide ribosomal RNA is filed under the name uncultured bacterium. Its description in RNAcentral is "bacterial SSU rRNA". It matches the Rfam family "Bacterial small subunit ribosomal RNA", at positions 1 to 717 of the family's 1533-position model. The record is from RNAcentral.